RNAcentral lists this ribosomal RNA (491 nucleotides) under uncultured bacterium. RNAcentral's name for it is "partial 16S ribosomal RNA". It matches the Rfam family "Bacterial small subunit ribosomal RNA", at positions 29 to 507 of the family's 1533-position model. The record is from RNAcentral.
UUGAACGCUGGCGGCAUGCUUUACACCUGCAAGUCGAACGGUAACAGGCCUUCGGGUGCUGACGAGUGGCGAACGGGUGAGUAAUGCAUCGGAACGUACCCAGAGGUGGGGGAUAACGCAGCGAAAGCUGUGCUAAUACCGCAUGUGAUCUGAGGAUGAAAGCGGGGGACCGAGCAGCAAUGUUUGGCCUCGCGCCUUUGGAGCGGCCGAUGUCGGAUUAGCUAGUUGGUGGGGUAAAGGCCUACCAAGGCGACGAUCCGUAGCUGGUCUGAGAGGACGACCAGCCACACUGGGACUGAGACACGGCCCAGACUCCUACGGGAGGCAGCAGUGGGGAAUUUUGGACAAUGGGCGCAAGCCUGAUCCAGCAAUGCCGCGUGCGGGAAGAAGGCCUUCGGGUUGUAAACCGCUUUUGGCAGGAACGAAACGGUGUCCGCUAAUACCGGGCGCUAAUGACGGUACCCGCAGAAUAAGCACCGGCUAACUACGUG